Molecule: ribosomal RNA, 465 nt
Filed under: uncultured bacterium
Lineage: Bacteria
Description: partial 16S ribosomal RNA
Rfam family: Bacterial small subunit ribosomal RNA
Source: RNAcentral
CCUACGGGUGGCAGCAGUGGGGAAUAUUGCGCAAUGGGCGAAAGCCUGACGCAGCGACGCCGCGUGAGGGAUGAAGGUCUUCGGAUCGUAAACCUCUGUCAGCAGGGAAGAACGGUCACUGUGCUAAUCAGCAGUGAAUUGACGGUACCUGAAGAAGAAGCCCCGGCUAACUACGUGCCAGCAGCCGCGGUAAUACGUAGGGGGCAAGCGUUAUCCGGAUUUACUGGGUGUAAAGGGGGCGCAGACGGCGAUGCAAGCCAGGAGUGAAAGCCCGGGGCCCAACCCCGGGACUGCUCUUGGAACUGCGUGGCUGGAGUGCAGGAGGGGCAGGCGGAAUUCCUGGUGUAGCGGUGAAAUGCGUAGAUAUCAGGAGGAACACCGGUGGUGAAGGCGGCCUGCUGGACUGCAACUGACGUUGAGGCCCGAAAGCGUGGGGAGCAAACAGGAUUAGAUACCCCAGUAGUC